RNAcentral lists this ribosomal RNA (495 nucleotides) under uncultured bacterium. RNAcentral describes it as "partial 16S ribosomal RNA". It matches the Rfam family "Bacterial small subunit ribosomal RNA", at positions 28 to 505 of the family's 1533-position model. The record is from RNAcentral.
GACGAACGCUGGCGGCGUGCCUAAUACAUGCAAGUUGAGCGAUGAAGCUUGGUGCUUGCACCAAUUUGAAGAGCAGCGAACGGGUGAGUAACGCGUGGGGAAUCUGCCUUUGAGCGGGGGACAACAUUUGGAAACGAAUGCUAAUACCGCAUAACAACUUUAAACAUAAGUUUUAAGUUUGAAAGAUGCAAUUGCAUCACUCAAAGAUGAUCCCGCGUUGUAUUAGCUAGUUGGUGAGGUAAAGGCUCACCAAGGCGAUGAUACAUAGCCGACCUGAGAGGGUGAUCGGCCACAUUGGGACUGAGACACGGCCCAAACUCCUACGGGAGGCAGCAGUAGGGAAUCUUCGGCAAUGGACGAAAGUCUGACCGAGCAACGCCGCGUGAGUGAAGAAGGUUUUCGGAUCGUAAAACUCUGUUGGUAGAGAAGAACGUUGGUGAGAGUGGAAAGCUCAUCAAGUGACGGUAACUACCCAGAAAGGGACGGCUAACUACG